RNAcentral lists this ribosomal RNA (994 nucleotides) under Streptomyces broussonetiae. Its description in RNAcentral is "bacterial SSU rRNA". It matches the Rfam family "Bacterial small subunit ribosomal RNA", at positions 16 to 1035 of the family's 1533-position model. Lineage: Bacteria; Bacillati; Actinomycetota; Actinomycetes; Kitasatosporales; Streptomycetaceae. The record is from RNAcentral.
AUCCUGGCUCAGGACGAACGCUGGCGGCGUGCUUAACACAUGCAAGUCGAACGAUGAAGCCCUUCGGGGUGGAUAGUGGAACGGGUGAGUAACACGUGGGCAAUCUGCCCUUCACUCUGGGACAAGCCCUGGAAACGGGGUCUAAUACCGGAUACGAGCCUCCAAGGCAUCUUGGAGGUUGGAAAGCUCCGGCGGUGAAGGAUGAGCCCGCGGCCUAUCAGCUUGUUGGUGAGGUAAUGGCUCACCAAGGCGACGACGGGUAGCCGGCCUGAGAGGGCGACCGGCCACACUGGGACUGAGACACGGCCCAGACUCCUACGGAGGCAGCAGUGGGGAAUAUUGCACAAUGGGCGAAAGCCUGAUGCAGCGACGCCGCGUGAGGGAUGACGGCCUUCGGGUUGUAAACCUCUUUCAGCAGGGAAGAAGCGAGAGUGACGGUACCUGCAGAAGAAGCGCCGGCUAACUACGUGCCAGCAGCCGCGGUAAUACGUAGGGCGCAAGCGUUGUCCGGAAUUAUUGGGCGUAAAGAGCUCGUAGGCGGCUUGUCACGUCGAUUGUGAAGCUCGGGGCUUAACCCCGAGUCUGCAGUCGAUACGGGCUAGCUAGAGUGUGGUAGGGGAGAUCGGAAUUCCUGGUGUAGCGGUGAAAUGCGCAGAUAUCAGGAGGAACACCGGUGGCAAGGGGAUCUCUGGGCCAUUACUGACGCUGAGGAGCGAAAGCGUGGGGAGCGAACAGGAUAGAUACCCUGGUAGUCCACGCCGUAAACGGUGGGAACUAGGUGUUGGCGACAUUCCACGUCGUCGGUGCCGCAGCUAACGCAUUAAGUUCCCCGCCUGGGGAGUACGGCCGCAAGGCUAAAACUCAAAGGAAUUGACGGGGGCCCGCACAAGCGGCGGAGCAUGUGGCUUAAUUCGACGCAACGCGAAGAACCUUACCAAGGCUUGACAUACACCGGAAAGCAUUAGAGAUAGUGCCCCCCUUGUGGUCGGUGUAC